UAGGGAAUCUUCGGCAAUGGACGGAAGUCUGACCGAGCAACGCCGCGGGAGUGAAGAAGGUUUUCGGAUCGUAAAGCUCUGUUGUUAGAGAAGAACGUUGGUAGGAGUGGAAAAUCUACCAAGUGACGGUAACUAACCAGAAAGGGACGGCUAACUACGUGCCAGCAGCCGCGGUAAUACGUAGGUCCCGAGCGUUGUCCGGAUUUAUUGGGCGUAAAGCGAGCGCAGGCGGUUCUUUAAGUCUGAAGUUAAAGGCAGUGGCUUAACCAUUGUACGCUUUGGAAACUGGAGGACUUGAGUGCAGAAGGGGGGAGUGGAAUUCCAUGUGUAGCGGUGAAAUGCGUAGAUAUAUGGAGGAACACCGGUGGCGAAAGCGGCUCUCUGGUCUGUAACUGACGCUGAGGCUCGAAAGCGUGGGGAGCAAACAGG
This 429-nucleotide ribosomal RNA is filed under the name Bacillota bacterium. Its description in RNAcentral is "Firmicutes bacterium partial 16S ribosomal RNA". It matches the Rfam family "Bacterial small subunit ribosomal RNA", at positions 355 to 776 of the family's 1533-position model. Lineage: Bacteria; Bacillati; Bacillota. The record is from RNAcentral.